AAAAAUUUGGCGGUAUUUUAGUCUAUUCAGAGGAACUUGUUUUAUAAUCGAUAUUCCACGAUGGACCUUACUAAAUUUUGUUUUCAGUUUAUAUACCGUUGUUAUUAAAAUAUUUUAAAAGGAGGUUAAUUUUUAUAAAUUUUUAAGAAAAAAUAUAUCAGAUCAAGGUGUAGCUUAUAAUUUAGUAAAAAUGAGUUACAAUAAAUUUAUUUAGAUGAAUAUAAAUUUGAAAUAUUUAUUGAAAAUGGAUUUGAUAGUAAAAUUAUAUAGAUAAAUUAAUUGAUUUUAGCUCUAAAAU
This 298-nucleotide ribosomal RNA is filed under the name Macropodexia sp. RNAcentral describes it as "partial ribosomal RNA small subunit". Lineage: Eukaryota; Metazoa; Arthropoda; Insecta; Diptera; Tachinidae. The record is from RNAcentral.